Molecule: ribosomal RNA, 459 nt
Filed under: uncultured bacterium
Lineage: Bacteria
Description: partial 16S ribosomal RNA
Rfam family: Bacterial small subunit ribosomal RNA
Source: RNAcentral
CCUACGGGAGGCAGCAGUGAGGAAUAUUGGUCAAUGGGCGCGAGCCUGAACCAGCCAAGUCGCGUGAGGGAAGACGGUCCUAUGGAUUGUAAACCUCUUUUGUCGGGGAGCAAAAGACGCCACGCGUGGCGUUCCGAGCGUACCCUACGAACAAGCAUCGGCUAACUCCGUGCCAGCAGCCGCGGUAAUACGGAGGAUGCGAGCGUUAUCCGGAUUGAUUGGGUUUAAAGGGUGCGCAGGCGGAAGAUCAAGUCAGCGGUAAAAUUGAGAGGCUCAACCUCUUCGAGCCGUUGAAACUGGUUUUCUUGAGUGAGCGAGAAGGAGGCGGAAUGCGUGGUGUAGCGGUGAAAUGCAUAGAUAUCACGCAGAACUCCGAUUGCGAAGGCAGCAUACCGGCGCUCAACUGACGCUCAUGCACGAAAGUGUGGGUAUCGAACAGGAUUAGAUACCCCAGUAGUC